UAGGGAAUCUUCCACAAUGGGCGCAAGCCUGAUGGAGCAACACCGCGUGAGUGAAGAAGGGUUUCGGCUCGUAAAGCUCUGUUGUUAAAGAAGAACACGUAUGAGAGUAACUGUUCAUACGUUGACGGUAUUUAACCAGAAAGUCACGGACUAACUACGUGCCAG
RNAcentral lists this ribosomal RNA (165 nucleotides) under uncultured bacterium. RNAcentral's name for it is "partial 16S rRNA". It matches the Rfam family "Bacterial small subunit ribosomal RNA", at positions 355 to 511 of the family's 1533-position model. The record is from RNAcentral.